RNAcentral lists this long non-coding RNA (951 nucleotides) under Marmota monax (woodchuck). Lineage: Eukaryota; Metazoa; Chordata; Mammalia; Rodentia; Sciuridae. The record is from RNAcentral.
UUAGAGCAUCAGGAAGGACAUAUGAAGUCACUCACCUUAAGGAGUUUUCAUUCUGUGAGUUUUAACUAGAACUCAUUCCUGAUGUUCUAUACUCUGGUUAAAAACAAUUCACUGAGGCAUCCUGCCUCAGAAUGACUUUCCUAGCAUCCUUCAUGUGAAAUAGCAAGGUUUAUUCACAAGUCAUUCCCAGGUUUUGUAAUUCAUACCACAGUGCCUUGCAAAAAGCACAUAAAUGAAGCAACAAAAUUCAAUUGUUGUGCUUAGAUAGCGGACCCUACUUAAUAAAAAAAAAAUUUUUAAUGUGGUUAUUGAAACAAUAUGCAGUAUAAAUAAUUAGAUUACAUCUGUAUAGACAGGGCCUAGAUUUUGUUAACUCUAAUAAAUAAAUGUAGUUAGCUUAAUUUAAAAUUUAGAAUUUUAAGCUUUUUAUUUAGCUAGGCACUUUAUUACUCUCUUUUGAAUUGAAAGCACACUGCAAUAUAGGGUCAUGUAAUUGUCUGUAAUAAAGUACUUAUAAAUGGAAUAUGGCCUAGUUUUACCAUAACCCUUAGCACCUUUAAAUUUUGAAAAACUUCUGAAUGAAUAAUAUGAGCAGAGAUGCUUAUAUAUAAAUCACAUCUAUUUUAAGGAUAUUAUUUCUAAUUCACUUCUUUGUAUUUUGCAUAAAUGAGCAUAAACUAAAGGUCCAUUCUUAGGGAAAAAAAGAAAAAAAAAACUUGGUUGAGCAUUUUGUCACUUAAUCAGCCACUGAGGUUUCACUAAAAGCUACCAUAGUGAAAUGAAGUCAGGGAGGGUUUAUAUCACAUUGAUUUCACUAGGAUUAUUUUAAUAUAUCAAAGGGGUUUGCUAUGCUAGACAAAAUUUUAGGGAAAAAAUACUACUAGAAAUGCAUGCAUCAUCAGGACAUACCAUCAUAUCUUGAGUCCAGUAUGCCAUAAGACAUCUUAGCAC